RNAcentral lists this ribosomal RNA (1912 nucleotides) under human gut metagenome. RNAcentral's name for it is "bacterial LSU rRNA". It matches the Rfam family "Bacterial large subunit ribosomal RNA", at positions 509 to 2425 of the family's 2925-position model. The record is from RNAcentral.
GAAAGGCGAAAAGAACCCCGGGAGGGGAGUGAAAUAGAUCCUGAAACCGCAUACAUACAAACAGUAGGAGCCCGCAAGGGUGACUGCGUACCUUUUGCAUAAUGGGUCAGCGACUUACGUUCAAUGGCAAGCUUAACCGAGUAGGGGAGGCGCAGCGAAAGCGAGUCCGAACAGGGCGACAUGAGUCGUUGGGCGUAGACCCGAAACCAGAUGAUCUAUCCAUGGCCAGGCUGAAGGUGUGGUAACACACACUGGAGGGCCGAACCGACUAGUGUUGCAAAAUUAGCGGAUGAGCUGUGGAUAGGGGUGAAAGGCUAAACAAAUCUGGAGAUAGCUGGUUCUCCCCGAAAACUAUUGAGGUAGUGCCUCGUGUAUGGCUCCAGGGGGUAGAGCACUGUUAUGGCUAGGGGGACAUGGCGUCUUACCAAACCAUGGCAAACUCCGAAUACUUGGAAGUCUGAGCACGGGAGACAGAGCACCGGGUGCUAACGUCCGGACUCAAAAGGGAAACAACCCAGACCGCCGGCUAAGGUCCCUAAUAUUGACUAAGUGGAAAACGAAGUGGGAAGGCUAAGACAGUCAGGAAGUUGGCUUAGAAGCAGCCAUCCUUCAAAGAAAGCGUAAUAGCUCACUGAUCGAGUCUUCCUGCGCGGAAGAUGUAACGGGGCUAAGUCAAUAACCGAAGCCGCGGAUUCGCAGCAAUGCGAGUGGUAGGGGAGCGUUCUGUAAGCCUGCGAAGGCGGAUCUGCGAGGACCGCUGGAGGUAUCAGAAGUGCGAAUGCUGACAUGAGUAACGUUAAAGCGGGUGAAAAGCCCGCUCGCCGCAAGCCCAAGGUUUCCUGCUCUACGUUCAUCGGAGCAGGGUGAGUCGGCCCCUAAGGUCAGGCUGAGAAGCGUAGCUGAUGGGAAGCUGGUUAAUAUUCCAGCACCGAUUUCAAGUGCGAAGGGGGGACGGAGUCCUGAAGGUCAUCCGGGUGUUGGAUAUCCCGGUUUACGAGCGUAGGAGGUUGACAGGCAAAUCCGUCAACGGAUCUCCAAGGCGAAGGAUCGAGGUUGAGAGAUCAACUGAAGUGACUGAAUGGGCUUCCAGGAAAAGCCUCUAAGCAUCAGCUUGGAAUUGACCGUACCGCAAACCGACACUGGUGGGCGAGCUGAAUAUGCUCAGGCGCUUGAGAGAACUCAGGAGAAGGAACUCGGCAAAUUGACACCGUAACUUCGGGAUAAGGUGUGCCUUUGUAGUGUGAAGAGAGAAACACUCCGAGCAUGAAGAGGCCUCAGAGAAUCGGUGGCUGCAACUGUUUACUAAAAACACAGCACUCUGCAAAGAUGAAAGUCGACGUAUAGGGUGUGAUGCCUGCCCGGUGCUGGAAGAUUAAUUGAUGGGGUGCAAGCUCCUGAUCGAAGUCCCAGUAAACGGCGGCCGUAACUAUAACGGUCCUAAGGUAGCGAAAUUCCUUGUCGGGCAAGUUCCGACCUGCACGAAUGGCAUAAUGAUGGCCACACUGUCUCCUCCUGAGACUCAGUGAAGUUGAAAUGUUUGUGAUGAUGCAAUCUCCCCGCGGCUAGACGGAAAGACCCCAUGAACCUUUACUGCAGCUUUGCAUUGGACUUUGAACCGAUCUGUGUAGGAUAGGUGGGAGGCAGUGAAGCUAGGACGCCAGUCUUAGCGGAGCCAACCUUGAAAUACCACCCUGAUUUGUUUGAGGUUCUAACCUAGGAGCGUGAUCCGCUUCGGGGACCGUGCAUGGUAGGCAGUUUGACUGGGGCGGUCUCCUCCUAAAGGGUAACGGAGGAGUGCGAAGGUACGCUAGGUACGGUCGGAAAUCGUGCUGAUAGUGCAAUGGCAAAAGCGUGCUUGACUGCGAGACCGACAAGUCGAGCAGAUACGAAAGUAGGUCAUAGUGAUCCGGUG